UCGUCUGUAGCGCCGGUGGCCUUAAUUCUUUUUGUUUGUGUGUUUGUGCUUAUCACGCACCCCCCUCUGCACUCUCCCCCCUCCCCCUGCACGGCUUGGCAUCGAGGCUUUUGUUCGCCUUGCCUGUGAGAUCACCCAAGAGGGGCGCACUGUACAUACCUAUCGUCUUCCGCAGCCUCCCGCUCCUGCCUCCUCCGCUCUUUGCGAAAAACGGAGACGUGCCCGGCAUGCUUUCUUCUGCAAAUGCAACCGCUGCCGGCAACGGGUACAGAUCAUCAAGUGCAGCAGACCUGGGUUGGCCAAGUGCGGGUGGGCUGAGAAGCGGUGGAGAGGCGAAGGCUUCGAUAGCGCCUCACUCUGUGCCCGCGGGUGUGACACCACCGCUUCGUUACGGAGGUGAUCCGGUGGCUGCAACGACAGCGGUGCCGCCUGCCGGACAUGUGACGUUCCCCGCUGCAGACCUUGUGGACAGGAGCGCCUUUCUGUUCGGGCUUCUUCAGUCCGAACACUUGGUGCAUGAUGUGCACGAUGCCAUCGUUGCUCUCAACAACGUGGCUGCUGACAAGACCGACGACGGCGAUGCCAAGAGCCGCACCGCAGGCGGCCAGAGCAGUAGCGAGGGGGCCCUUUCGGCUGUGUUCUACUUUAUUGCCCGCCCCCCCUGCCCCGAUAUGCCGUGGCGCCCCAUCUACACCAGUGCUGUACUGCUGUGUGUAUUUUCAACCGUGGAGGCGGCGCAGCGGGCGAUUGCCCGCGUCGACCGAGUAGUGCUGCACACAAUGCAGACGGAAGUGCGGGGCUCUGCAUCGACGGCCUCGACGGCACCAAUAUCGUCGCCGUACCUCGUCCUCCGCCCGGCCAGGGAGUUUGUGCUGGGGCCGGAGAAUACGGACACAGCGUUGCUCACCUACCUCACAACGCCACGACUCGUGGACUUGCUGCUGCGUCGUCAGCGGAUGCAGAAACCGAACGACAGGGUCGCAGAUGACGCGGAGCAACGCAGCGCCAUGGAGUCGUACGCUCGAGCGAACUUGCCGCCGGCGUAUCUGUGCGGCUCUGCCGCGCGUCUGUACGCUGCCAUUCUGAGCCCGCAGAGUCCCUACGCGGUCGACUGGGCGGCGGCGCGCGUGGCGAUGGCUCGUGGGGACGGCAUCGUGGUGCCGGAAAUGAGCGUGGUAGAGCCAUGGGCUUGCGGUGGGGCUGGUGAGUACGACCGUGAUAAAGGCGCUACCCCCGCCGCAGCCGGCUCGCCGCCCGCCGACAGAUGUUCACCACCGUUGUUGCAGGGCGCAGACAUUGAGCGGCGCCGGCGCGCGAGCGUGUCGGGCGCCGCCCACUACGUUCCAGUGACACUGCAGGAGGAGGAGUAUUAUCGCCGAUACGGUGUUGGGUCGCCGAGUCGCACGGCUAUCAGCCGUGCUCGUUGCGGCAGUGUGGAGGGGCUGACGGAGCUGAUGCCCUCUCGCGGCUCUCUCUAUCGUGGCGCACAGGGUGUUCUGCGCGGCGUUUCCUGGUUCUGGCGCCGCGCCUACGAGAGCCUCAGCGGCAAGGAGGCGGCGCUGAUCAGCGGCCCCAGUAGUCUGCCAGUGGCGCCGACGGUUCCCAGUGCGCCGCCGCAAGCGUCUGCUGGAGCGAUAGGCACCUCCGAUCAAGUGCCGUUUCCUGCGUCCCCGACCGCGCUAAGCGAGGGGCGGAACUUCUACGAGCCCCCGCGAGCGCGGCACCGCGCGGAGGGUCGCGGGCCCGACGGUGUUCACGGCACCCGUGGAGGCGGUGGCCAGCCGAUCAUGAUUCCCCGCUACAACGCGGUCGGGUCUGCGCUGUCGUGGAUGCCGGGGUUUCACUAUGUCGCGCCGCUCUUCGUCACGGGCGUCUUUCCGCUGGGCGGCACCGCGCCACCGCCGCCGCAUCGCCGUCGUAUGCGUGAGGAGGAGUGUGGUGACCUGGAGAGCUCUGCGUGGAGCGGGAAAGAGGCACAGUUGUAUGGCAUCGCGUCAGCGGAUGCGUGGCGCCGCGAUGGCGGCCAAGUUCCGUCCUAUUCCUCGCUUAACCACGCGCCGAUUCCAGAGCCGUUCUCGGACAGCGCAGCCUGUGGUGCCCCGCUGCGGCGCUCUGAGGUGUCGACGGUUCCUCAGAGGGCCGGCUUGCCUCCAGUAUCGUGGAGUUUGCCGGCGCAGCCGUCUCAGCUGUUUCCUGCUUCGCUGCCGCGGCGCGCAGCAGAUGGACCGCAGGCAGCUCCCGGCACAGCGCCCCAUCCGAACUCACUUCUGCCAACGCCGAUGGUCUCUUCUAUUGCACCCAGCCGGUCCUGCAUGCCUCUUCACGACGGCGAUCUCGCGUCAUCCAGCGAGGACGCAUCGAUGCCGGCGCUUUGGAGGUCCCGUGCCGCUGAAAAACCCGAUGCCAUCCCCGCCUCGUCGCGAGGGAACCGCGCUUUCAUUCGCGUCGAUGGCGUGCACGCAGCUGGUGGAGGCUCUCGCGCCGCUCGCCAUGUGCGCAGCGUUGGUAGUGACACAUCGCUUGCUGCGGGUACACUUGGGGGGAGCUCAGCUACGAAAUCUGGUGGCGCGAGACCCAGUGGCACGCUUGCAGAUGAGCUUCGUGCCUUUGGCAGCGGCCCUGUGGCCGGUCUGCGUGGCCGUACGGAUAACCAGGAUGAGGUGCGCACCACUACCGCGGACACCACUGCUGAUGCUCAGAGAGAAAAGAAAUCUAGCUCCCGCGCAUCGCGCCGCACGGUAGAGUUUAGCCUUCCUGGCGAGACCAAGUAGCCCCCGUUCUGCGACAGUUGUGCAUGUGCAUUUCUAGGUAAAAAGGGGGCAGCGCGGAACCGAAAGGAAGAGGACGCAGAAAGGGAAAAAUAGACAUGUCACGACCGGCCCUUCAGCUGCUGACGUACCAUGGCGUGCUCUCAGCUUUUCUUUUAUUUGUUGAACGGGAUGACAGGCCCGGAUGGAUGUGGGGAGGGCGGGAAGAGAAGGGGGGAGGGAAGGAGGGUGGAAGGGGGCAACACAUCACCUCUGCCUUCCGAAUCGGCACGUCUGCUGCGUUUUCUUCUCACCACUCUCCUCUCCUUCGGUUCUCCAGGUCUCUCUCUCCCUCUCCAGAGUGGCUUGGCUCGGACUAAUGGCGUACGAUUAGAUCUUC
Molecule: unclassified non-coding RNA, 3147 nt
Filed under: Leishmania donovani
Lineage: Eukaryota; Euglenozoa; Kinetoplastea; Trypanosomatida; Trypanosomatidae
Description: gene:LdHU3.02.0670(CDS-product:hypothetical_prote in_conserved)
Source: RNAcentral